Molecule: unclassified non-coding RNA, 3252 nt
Filed under: Stegodyphus dumicola
Lineage: Eukaryota; Metazoa; Arthropoda; Arachnida; Araneae; Eresidae
Description: protein madd-4-like, transcript variant X2
Source: RNAcentral
CAAAUGUCAAGACCAACUUGUUUGAACAAGGCUAAUGAAAAAGAAGUGGACGACCGUUUGUGUGACGUCGCUGCGAGACCAGUUCCAGAAAUAAAGGAAUGCAAUCCACACAAAUGCCCACCAGUUUGGGUGACCGACAGCUGGAGCCCCUGCUCCGCUUCGUGUGGAGGCGGCCGACAAUCACGGCAGGUACAUUGUGCCCAGAUGGGUACAGAUGGUAUACGAAGCCCCGUUGCUGCCGAUCAAUGCCUUCGUCAGAAGCCUGUCACAGAGCGUCCCUGCAAUCUAGUGCCCUGCCCACAGUGGGUGAUUGGACCAUGGUCUGGAUGCUCUGUUACGUGUGGGAAAGGACAGAAAACUCGUUCUGUAGCUUGCAGAGAUGCCAAAGGGCAACACAGCGAAGAUUGUGAUGUUGAAGAGAUGCCAGCAACUAAGAUGGAUUGUGAUAGCCGCCUUGUAUGUACGCCGUCAGAAGACCCAGGAACGUAUUUGUUCUCAGAUAUUUUCAAGGGUUCCCAAGAAGAUGCUCCACCUCGUCGAAAAUCCAGUGAACCGAAUUACGAAGUUGGAGAAUGGGGUCCUUGCUCCGUUAGUUGUGGUCAAGGAAUCCGGACCCGAGAGGUGGCCUGUAAAAUACUUCUGGAGUUUUCAAAAACAUGGGCAUCACUUCAAGAUUAUGAAUGUCCCGGAAUGAAACCACCUACUGUUGAGAGCUGCUAUCCACGGCCAUGUUCUUUCGAUUUGAACAAGCCAGAAGAUAGGAAAAAACCGAAAGUGCAUGUUGGCAUUGAAGUUACUUAUUCCUGGAGAUCCAAUGGUUUCACACCGUGUAGUGCUUCUUGUCUUGGAGGUACUCGUGAAUCUGUCAUCCAGUGUGUUCGAGAUCAUGAUCAAGCAGUCGUGAAAGCGACACUAUGCGAUAUCAGCGAGAAACCGGACGCCAUUACUCAAACUUGUAAUGAUCAUCCAUGCCCACCGAGGUGGAAUAUUUCAGAGUUCAGUCCUUGUUCUAAGCCAUGUGGGGCUGGGUACAUGACACGUCGUGUUCAUUGCGUGCAUGAAGUUCUGAGAGGAGCAGCCAAUACUCUUAUCGUAAACAACAGCAACUGCCCACAGCCACCACCGAGAGAUAAAGUAUUUUGCAACGUUUUCAACUGCCCUUCACGCUGGAAAGCUGAUCCUUGGACAAAGUGUUCUAAAAGUUGCGGUGGUGGAGAGAAGACUCGAAAGAUUCGAUGCAUGAAGGAAAUGAACUUCGGGCAGUUAGUCGAACUGGCUCCUUCAGCCUGCUCAAAACGUCGACCCCGGACAUCGAAACCCUGCAACACGAAGCCUUGUCCCAGUGUAGACGAUAUCGUACCCUCUCAUCAGAGCUAUGUUCAGCAAAGCCCUCAGAGAAGGGUGUUCUUGAAGGUGGGAGGAACGGCCAAGAUUUUUGCGGAGACAAACGUGAAAAUUCGUUGUCCAAGUAAGAAUGCCAACAAGACGAGUAUAUUGUGGUAUAAAGAUGACGAAAAGAUCAAGCCUUCAAAGAGAUUAAAAGUUUCAAUGAAAGGAGCUCUACGCAUAAGGAGGAUAUCCUUAAAAGACAGCGGAAAAUAUACAUGUGUUUCCGGAUAUUCGAAAGCAGACAUCUUCAUUACAGUGAAGCCUCUCCCGCUCUUUCGCACAGGAACUGACGAAGAAAGGACAGUGGAGAAUCUCCAACCUCCUACUAUUGUCAAAGGCCCCAAAGACAACGAAAGGACGUCGGAAGAAAAGUUCAACCGUGACCGCUACCGGCCGAAUACUUCAACGGAGCCCAGGCACAAAGUCAACCAGCAACCGAGGGAAAAUAGAGUCAACAGCGGGGAAGAUACGGUUGAAGACACUCGUAGGGAAUAUCAUUACAAGACAAACACAAAUGACAAUCAAAAUAGCCACCAAGAUUUGAAUAAUAAACCAAAACUAUACUCAACAGAGGAUUCUACGCUUGAGCUCAGCACACUAGAUAGAGUACCUCUGUACAUACAAGCUCAGCAAACAAACAAACCACCAGUAGCCCCAGUGCCUACAUCUAAGACUGUAGAUUCAGAUGAACUUGUUCCAUCAAGGGGUCAAACAGAUCUUGAUAAGAACCGUCCUAAACUGAAGACUAAACCUUACGGCACAACAUCUGAAGAGAAAUCUCCCAAUCAAGUGAUCUACGGAGAAACUUGGAAGCAAACUUACGACGGGUCUUUGAGGGCUAAAAACAAGCAGAAAGAUGUGUGGAAAAAUACUGAUCUCUUCUCCGAUCAAGAAGAAUUAAACGUCGGCACUCCUCACGGUGGGAAAGGAUUCCCGGAUGAACCAGCUCAUUCCGGUGCCGCGAGUACUCAUGGUGUCUCCCACAUCGAGGUCUUUCUGCGGAAUUUGCCAUCAUUUGGGACAACUAAAGCCUCUUACUUCGAUCCCGAUAAGGAUUCAGAUGAAGAGGAAGUUGAAGAGGACUAUAAGCUUCCCGAUCCAACUGAAAUGGUAACCAACAGCUUCGUUCUAGGCAAAGGCAAACCAGAGCAUGUGAAGUUUGAUUGGUUUAUUACAGAGUGGUCACCAUGCACAAAGUCGUGUGGUGGUCAUGGAUAUCAGGUACGAACAUCUCAAUGUUUAGUGCGUUUGGACAACGUUUCGAAAGCUGUUGAUAGCAGUUUCUGUGAAGACGCGAAAUUAAUAACUCCAAAGAAUGUCCAGAGUUGUGGAGACGAGGAUUGCCCACACUGGGAAACAUCACCUUGGUCUCAGUGUCUGGAAUCGCAGUGCUUCCAGUGGCACACAGCUUACGAAAAGCGCUCCGUAUUUUGCCGUGCGGCCAACGGGACAGACCUUCCGCUUUCUCUUUGCGACGAGAAGACGCGACCGAGGCGGAAAAGAGAAUGCUAUAACAGUAACUGCAGAAGUGUAUGGAAAGUCGGUGAAUGGUCCGAGCCUGCUGUCUUAUGCCCAGUGCACCGCCAGCUGCAACCGACAUGGUUUCCAGAGCCGAAUUCUUCAGUGCGUCUGGUAUGGGAGCACACGGCCAGCUGGCAAUGCCUGCCGUGACCAACAAAGGCCUGUAGUCAUGCGGCCCUGCAAGAGCCCGCCAUGCCAAUCGAGUGGAAACAACUGCACUGACCGUUCCAGUUACUGCAGCUUAGCAAAAACCUUACACUUGUGCCGCCUCAGUCGCUACCACCUCCAUUGUUGUGACUCGUGCAAGAAACGAGAAAGCAAAGGUUAGAUCUCCAAUUUGCA